UGGGGAAUUUUGGACAAUGGGGGAAACCCUGAUCCAGCCAUCCCGCGUGUGCGAUGAAGGCCUUCGGGUUGUAAAGCACUUUUGGCAGGAAAGAAACGUCGCGGGUUAAUACCCCGCGAAACUGACGGUACCUGCAGAAUAAGCACCGGCUAACUACGUGCCAGCAGCCGCGGUAAUACGUAGGGUGCAAGCGUUAAUCGGAAUUACUGGGCGUAAAGCGUGCGCAGGCGGUUCGGAAAGAAAGAUGUGAAAUCCCAGAGCUUAACUUUGGAACUGCAUUUUUAACUACCGGGCUAGAGUGUGUCAGAGGGAGGUGGAAUUCCGCGUGUAGCAGUGAAAUGCGUAGAUAUGCGGAGGAACACCGAUGGCGAAGGCAGCCUCCUGGGAUAACACUGACGCUCAUGCACGAAAGCGUGGGGAGCAAACAGGAUUAGAUACCCCGGUAGUCCACGCCCUAAACGAUGUCAACUAGCUGUUGGGGCCUUCGGGCCUUGGUAGCGCAGCUAACGCGUGAAGUUGACCGCCUGGGGAGUACGGUCGCAAGAUUAAAACUCAAAGGAAUU
RNAcentral lists this ribosomal RNA (563 nucleotides) under uncultured bacterium. Its description in RNAcentral is "partial 16S ribosomal RNA". It matches the Rfam family "Bacterial small subunit ribosomal RNA", at positions 355 to 911 of the family's 1533-position model. The record is from RNAcentral.